RNAcentral lists this ribosomal RNA (480 nucleotides) under uncultured bacterium. Its description in RNAcentral is "partial 16S ribosomal RNA". It matches the Rfam family "Bacterial small subunit ribosomal RNA", at positions 28 to 507 of the family's 1533-position model. The record is from RNAcentral.
GACGAACGCUGGCGGCGUGCUUAACACAUGCAAGUCGAACGAUGAGGAAAAGAAUCGAAGCUUCGGCAGAAAUUCAUUUCGGAUUAGUGGCAGACGGGUGAGUAACGCGUGAGCAACCUACCUCUUACAAAGGGAUAGCCUCGGGAAACCGGGAUUAAUACCAUAUAACAUUGCGACGAAGCAUUUCGAUGCAAUCAAAGCUACGGCGGUAAGAGAUGGGCUCGCGUCCCAUUAACCGGAUGGUGAGGUAACGGCUCACCAUAGUGACGAUGGGUAACCGGCCUGAGAGGGUGAACGGUCACACUGGAACUGAGACACGGUCCAGACUCCUACGGGAGGCAGCAGUGGGGAAUAUUGCACAAUGGAGGGAACUCUGAUGCAGCGACGCCGCGUGAGUGAUGAAGGAAUUCGUUUCGUAAAACUCUGUUCUAUGGGAAGAAAAGGACUGUACCAUAGGAGAAAGCUCCGGCUAAAUACGUG